AUGGGGUGGGAGGGGGACACUGGGGCCAUCCUCCACUCCCUCCCAGGUGCCGUAGCAGGCAGCUGGAUCAGAAGUGGACAGGGGGACUCGAUCCGGGGCCCACAUGGGAUGGGGGAGGGGUCACGGACGGCUGCACCCGCCCCACUGCUGCAGGCCCGAGGGCUCCGAGUCCUGGCUGAGAUCCGCGUCUCCCGAGUCAGCUGGCGGGCGGAGGAGGCGUUUUCCAACAUGGGAUCUGUGACAGGAGUGGCCAGUGCACUGCUCUGUGCGUCCUCACUGCCCGCGUCCCGGCCCUGCGUCCUGCACGUGUGCCCCAGCUCCCAGGCUGCGUGGACAGGCGCCCAGGGCGGGCUCCCCACCAAGUCCAUGUGGCUGCCUCUGCCUGCCCCCGGCCUCUCAGCGCCCUGGUGUUGGGUGCCUGCCCUCUGCAGGCGAUGUCGCCGCGUGCCAGGCCCCAUGGUGGGAGGAGGCCAGAGAGGGCGGGCAGCCUCCCCAGAGUGGCCUCCGCAGGCCCGGGCUCCCGUGCUGGGAGUGGUGCCCCCCGGAGGCCCCGGCCCACUGGGUGUGAGCUGGGGCAGGAAGUGGUUGGCCGCACCCUGGCCAGGCAGGAAACGUGGUGCGCAGGGCCUCGCAGGAACCCGUAUCCCCAGGUGCAGCAGUGUCCGCUCCCGACGUGGGCCCACGGUAACAUCACGGGCACAUUGUGGGGACUUUAUGGGGUCAUCACAAGGACAUCACAGGGACAUAAAGGGGACGUCUCGGCACGUCACGGGGACCCGCCGUGCUGCGGGGCGCUGGGCUGCGGGCCGACUGUUUGUCUCCCCUCACCGGGAGCUCCUCCUGCGUCUCCUGCCCAGCUGUGGAGGCCUUUGCUUCCGCGGGCCACGCACUGCAGCCCCUGCUGCCCCCGUGUGGCCGAGGGACGCAGGACAGAGCCAGGAUUCUGUCCCAGCUCCUGCUGUACCGUGGCGCCAGCCCCAGGACCUCGCUCGGAAGCCGCUGAGGACACGGCUCUGCCCCGUGACCCUGCAGGGCCUGGGAAGAAACCUGGCAGGUGGACGUGGCUCAGGGCCGGCUGACCCCAGGACAGGGCCCAGGCAGGGGCAGCUGGGCGGGCAGCCCCAUGCAGGCCCACCGGGAGCACACGGCCCAUGA
This 1155-nucleotide long non-coding RNA is filed under the name Oryctolagus cuniculus (rabbit). RNAcentral's name for it is "lncRNA (ENSOCUG00000037628.1)". The record is from RNAcentral. Lineage: Eukaryota; Metazoa; Chordata; Mammalia; Lagomorpha; Leporidae.